UGAAGAUCAAUGAAUCAGAAAAUGUUCUGACAGUUUUAACAGUUGUGAUGUGGUGUAUUUCACUUCCACGCAUCAUGUAGAGGUUGGUGACCUGAUACAAUGAACAUGGAAAAAUCACCUGCGCCCACGUUGACGAUGAUACCUGUACCGAAGUGCUGGAAACUAAAAUUAAUUUUCUUUACAAUUUGGUUUCAGGCUAUCUUAUAAUUUUUUAAUAGUUUUGCGUUUAUUGAUGAGUCCGCAAGCUCUUAGCUGAUUUCCUCCUUUAGAUACCGCCUGUCGACGAUUUGACAGCCUCACACAAUUAAAGAACGCCGAAGUGAGCUCUUCCGAGCAGAAAAGUGACGGCGUAUCCAUUGAAUUGAAAAUAGGCACAAGGUAACGCACAAUUAGCGUCCUUGUCUCAAUGGAGAAAUUUUGCCGUGGAACUUGU
This is a long non-coding RNA of Daphnia carinata, 433 nucleotides long. RefSeq lists it as uncharacterized. The record is from RefSeq and is a predicted model, not a curated record. Lineage: Eukaryota; Metazoa; Arthropoda; Branchiopoda; Diplostraca; Daphniidae. The transcript is spliced from 3 exons.